GAUGAACGCUGGCGGCGUGCCUAAUACAUGCAAGUCGAGCGAACAGAUGAGGAGCUUGCUCCUCUGACGUUAGCGGCGGACGGGUGAGUAACACGUGGAUAACCUACCUAUAAGACUGGGAUAACUUCGGGAAACCGGAGCUAAUACCGGAUAAUAUAUUGAACCGCAUGGUUCAAUAGUGAAAGACGGUUUUGCUGUCACUUAUAGAUGGAUCCGCGCCGCAUUAGCUAGUUGGUAAGGUAACGGCUUACCAAGGCAACGAUGCGUAGCCGACCUGAGAGGGUGAUCGGCCACACGGGAACUGAGACACGGUCCAGACUCCUACGGGGGGCAGCAGUAGGGAAUCUUCCGCAAUGGGCGAAAGCCUGACGGAGCAACGCCGCGUGAGUGAUGAAGGUCUUCGGAUCGUAAAACUCUGUUAUUAGGGAAGAACAAAUGUGUAAGUAACUAUGCACGUCUUGACGGUACCUAAUCAGAAAGCCACGGCUAACUACGUG
This 497-nucleotide ribosomal RNA is filed under the name uncultured bacterium. Its description in RNAcentral is "partial 16S ribosomal RNA". It matches the Rfam family "Bacterial small subunit ribosomal RNA", at positions 28 to 507 of the family's 1533-position model. The record is from RNAcentral.